This is an RNA transcript of Nomascus leucogenys (northern white-cheeked gibbon), 8699 nucleotides long. It is a transcript of the gene named SET domain containing 2, histone lysine methyltransferase, with no coding region annotated. NCBI's taxonomy places the organism in Eukaryota, Metazoa, Chordata, Mammalia, Primates, Hylobatidae. The record is from RefSeq and is a predicted model, not a curated record. The transcript is spliced from 22 exons.
GCGGCUGGCGGGCGUCCGAGGGAGGGAGGGAGCGACGAGCGAGGUAGCGACGCGGGCCGCCCCUGCCGCCGCCGCCGCCGCCGCGGUCGGACCUGCGGCCUCCUCCCCUCCCCUCCCCUCUCCCGCGUCGCCCUGCCGCGGGGAGGGGGCUCGCGUCGCCGCCUCCAGCCGCUCCCGAUGAAGCAGCUGCAGCCGCAGCCGCCUCCGAAGAUGGGGGAUUUCUACGACCCGGAGCACCCGACCCCUGAAGAAGAAGAAAACGAGGCAAAGAUUGAAAAUGUGCAGAAAACAGGUUUCAUCAAAGGACCAAUGUUCAAAGGUGUUGCUUCUAGUCGAUUUUUGCCCAAAGGCACCAAAACAAAAGUUAAUUUGGAAGAACAGGGACGACAGAAGGUGUCAUUCAGCUUCAGCCUUACAAAGAAAACUUUGCAGAAUAGGUUUCUCACUGCACUUGGCAAUGAAAAGCAAAGUGAUACUCCAAACCCUCCAGCUGUACCUCUUCAGGUAGACUCGACUCCUAAAAUGAAAAUGGAAAUUGGUGAUACCUUACCUGCUGCAGAAGAAUCUUCCCCACCAAAGUCAAGGGUGGAAUUGGGCAAAAUUCAUUUUAAGAAACACCUGCUUCAUGUAACAUCCAGGCCACUGCUGGCUACUACCACAGCAGUAGCAUCUCCGCCUACUCAUGCAGCACCAUUACCAGCAGUGACAGCAGAAUCAACAACUGUAGACUCACCGCCCUCAUCUCCGCCUCCACCGCCUCCACCUUUCCAAGCCACAACACUCUCAUCACCAGCACCAGUAACAGAGCCAGUGGCCUUGCCACAUACACCAAUAACAGUUCUAAUGGCAGCACCAGUACCCUUACCAGUAGAUGUAGCAGUUAGAUCUCUGAAAGAACCACCAAUUAUAAUUGUACCAGAAUCUUUAGAAGCAGGUACUAAGCAGGACACUGUAUCUAAUAGUUCAGAAGAACACAUAAUUCAAAUAUUGAAUGAGCAAGCAGAUAUUUCCUCAAAAAAAGAAGAUUCCCAUAUUGGGAAGGAUGAAGAAAUUCCAGAUAGUUCUAAGAUUAAUCUGAGCUGUAAAAAAACAGGUUCUAAGAAGAAAUCCUCACAAUCUGAAGGCACCUUUCUUGGUUCAGAAUCUGAUGAAGAUUCUGUACGGACUUCUUCAAGUCAAAAAUCACAUGAUUUAAAAUUUUCAGCAAGCAUUGAAAAGGAAAGAGAUUUUAAAAAGAGCUCAGCACCUUUAAAAAGUGAGGAUCUAGGGAAAUCUUCACGAUCUAAAACAGACAGAGAUGAUAAAUAUUUUAGCUAUUCAAAACUUGAAAGAGAUACUCGGUAUGUAUCUUCCCGAUGUAGAUCAGAAAGAGAGCGACGGCGGAGCAGAUCUCAUUCUAGGUCUGAGAGAGGCUCUAGAACUAAUUUAUCCUAUUCCAGGUCAGAACGAUCUCAUUAUUAUGACUCUGAUCGUCGCUACCAUAGGAGCUCCCCUUAUCGAGAGAGGACACGCUAUUCUCGGCCAUACGCAGAUAACAGAGCACGAGAGAGUUCUGACUCAGAAGAAGAGUAUAAGAAGACAUACUCAAGGCGUACCUCAUCUCAUUCCUCUUCUUACAGAGACCUAAGGACAUCAUCCUAUUCUAAAUCUGAUCGGGACUGUAAAACUGAGACCUCUUACUUAGAGAUGGAAAGAAGAGGCAAGUAUUCUUCAAAACUAGAAAGAGAAUCUAAAAGGACUUCAGAAAAUGAAGCAAUUAAAAGAUGUUGUUCUCCCCCUAAUGAACUGGGAUUCCGACGAGGGUCAUCAUAUUCUAAGCACGACAGUAGUGCUUCCCGUUAUAAGUCUACCCUUUCAAAACCUAUACCCAAGUCUGAUAAAUUUAAAAAUUCUUUCUGUUGUACAGAAUUAAAUGAAGAAAUGAAACAGUCUCAUUCUUUUAGUUUACAGACACCUUGUUCAAAAGGUAGUGAAUUAAGAAUGAUUAAUAAAAAUCCUGAAAGAGAAAAGGCUGGGUCUCCAGCUCCAUCAAAUCGAUUAAAUGAUUCACCUACUUUAAAAAAGCUAGAUGAGUUGCCUAUUUUUAAGUCUGAAUUUAUAACACAUGAUAGCCAUGAUGGUAUUAAGGAAUUAGACUCUUUAUCUAAAGUGAAGAAUGAUCAAUUAAGAAGUUUUUGUCCCAUAGAAUUAAAUAUAAAUGGAUCUCCUGGGGCAGAAUCUGAUUUGGCAACAUUUUGCACUUCUAAAACUGAUGCUGUUUUAAUGACUUCUGAUGAUAGUGUGACUGGAUCGGAGUUAUCCCCUUUGGUCAAAGCAUGCAUGCUUUCGUCAAAUGGAUUUCAGAAUGUUAGUAGAUGCAAAGAAAAAGACUUGGAUGAUACAUGCAUGCUGCAUAAGAAGUCAGAAAGCCCAUUUAGAGAAACAGAACCUCUGGUGUCACCACACCAAGAUAAACUCAUGUCUUUGCCAGUUAUGACUAUAGAUUAUUCCAAAACAGUAGUUAAAGAACCAGUUGAUACGAGGGUUUCUUGCUGCAAAACCAAAGAUUCAGACAUAUACUGUACUUCGAACGAUAGCAACCCUUCUUUGUGUAACUCCGAAGCUGAAAAUAUUGAGCCUUCGGUUAUGAAGAUUUCUUCAAAUAGCUUUAUGAAUAUGCAUUUGGAAUCAAAACCAGUUAUAUGUGAUAGUAGAAAUUUGACAGAUCACUCAAAAUUUGCAUGUGAAGAAUAUAAGCAGAGCAUCGGUAGCACUAGUUCAGCUUCUGUUAAUCAUUUUGAUGAUUUAUAUCAACCUAUUGGGAGUUCCGGUAUUGCUUCAUCUCUUCAGAGUCUUCCACCGGGAAUAAAGGUGGACAGUCUAACUCUCUUGAAAUGCGGAGAGAACACAUCUCCAGUUCUGGAUGCAGUGCUAAAGAGUAAAAAAAGUUCAGAGUUUUUAAAGCAUGCAGGGAAAGAAACAAUAGUAGAAGUAGGUAGUGACCUUCCUGAUUCAGGAAAAGGAUUUGUUUCCAGGGAGAACAGGCGUAAUAAUGGGUUAUCUGGGAAAUGUUUGCAAGAGGCUCAAGAAGAAGGGAAUUCCAUAUUGCCUGAAAGAAGAGGAAGACCAGAAAUCUCUUUAGAUGAAAGAGGAGAAGGAGGACGUGUGCAUACUUCUGAUGACUCAGAAGUUGUAUUUUCUUCUUGUGAUUUGAAUUUAACCGUGGAAGACAGUGAUGGUGUAACUUAUGCAUUAAGGUGUGACAGUAGUGGUCAUGCCCCAGAAAUUGUGUCUACUGUUCAUGAAGAUUAUUCUGGCUCUUCUGAAAGUUCAAAUGAUGAAAGUGAUUCAGAAGAUACAGAUUCGGAUGAUAGCAGUAUUCCAAGAAACCGUCUCCAGUCUGUUGUGGUUGUGCCAAAGAAUUCUACUUUGCCCAUGGAAGAAACAAGUCCUUGUUCUUCUCGGAGCAGUCAAAGUUAUAGACACUAUUCUGACCAUUGGGAAGACGAGAGAUUGGAGUCAAGGAGACAUUCUUAUGAGGAAAAAUUUGAAAGUAUAGCAAGUAAAGCCUGUCCUCAAACUGAUAAGUUUUUCCUUCAUAAAGGAACAGAGAAGAAUCUGGAAAUUUCUUUUACACAGUCCAGUAGAAAACAAAUAGAUAACCACCUGCCUGAACUUUCUCAUCCUCAGAGUGAUGGGGUUGAUAGUACAAGUCAUACAGAUGUGAAAUCUGACCCUCUGGGUCACCCAAAUUCAGAGGAAACCGUGAAAGCCAAAAUAUCUUCUAGGCAGCAAGAAGAGCUGCCAAUUUAUUCUUCUGAUUUUGAAGAUGUCCCAAAUAAGUCUUGGCAACAGGCCACUUUCCAAAACAGGCCAGAUAGUAGACUGGGAAAAACAGAAUUGAGUUUUUCUUCCUCUUGUGAGAUAUCACGUGUGGAUGUCUUGCACUCAUCAGAAGAGCUCAGAAACUUAGGUUGGGACUUCUCUCAAGAAAAGCCUUCUACUACAUAUCAACAACCUGACAGUAGCUAUGGAGCUUGUGGUGGACACAAGUAUCAGCAAAAUACAGAACAGUAUGGUGGGACACGUGAUUACUGGCAAGGCAAUGGUUACUGGGAUCCAAGACCAGGUAGACCUCCUGGAACUGGGGUUGUGUAUGAUCGAACUCAAGGACAAGUACCAGAUUCCCUAACAGAUGAUCGUGAAGAAGAGGAGAAUUGGGAUCAACAGGAUGGAUCCCAUUUUUCAGACCAGUCCAAUAAAUUUCUUCUAUCCCUUCAGAAAGACAAGGGGUCAGUGCAAGCACCCGAAAUAAGUAGCAAUUCCAUUAAGGACACUUUAGCUGUGAAUGAAAAGAAAGAUUUUUCAAAAAACUUAGAAAAAAAUGAUAUCAAAGAUAGAGGGCCUCUUAAGAAAAGGAGGCAGGAAAUAGAGAGUGAUUCUGAAAGUGAUGGUGAGCUUCAGGACAGAAAGAAAGUUAGAGUGGAGGUAGAGCAGGGAGAGACAUCAGUGCCCCCAGGCUCAGCACUGGUUGGGCCCUCCUGUGUCAUGGAUGACUUCAGGGACCCACAGCGAUGGAAGGAAUGUGCCAAGCAAGGGAAAAUGCCUUGUUACUUUGAUCUUAUUGAAGAAAAUGUUUAUUUAACAGAAAGAAAGAAGAAUAAAUCUCAUCGAGAUAUUAAGCGAAUGCAGUGUGAGUGUACACCUCUUUCUAAAGAUGAAAGAGCUCAAGGUGAAAUAGCAUGUGGGGAAGAUUGUCUUAAUCGUCUUCUCAUGAUUGAAUGUUCUUCUCGGUGUCCAAAUGGGGAUUAUUGUUCCAAUAGACGGUUUCAGAGAAAACAGCAUGCAGAUGUGGAAGUCAUACUCACAGAAAAGAAAGGCUGGGGCUUGAGAGCUGCCAAAGACCUUCCUUCGAACACCUUUGUCCUAGAAUAUUGUGGAGAGGUACUCGAUCAUAAAGAGUUUAAAGCUCGAGUGAAGGAGUAUGCACGAAACAAAAACAUCCAUUACUAUUUCAUGGCCCUGAAGAAUGAUGAGAUAAUAGAUGCCACUCAAAAAGGAAACUGCUCUCGUUUCAUGAAUCACAGCUGUGAACCAAACUGUGAAACCCAAAAAUGGACUGUGAACGGACAACUGAGGGUUGGGUUUUUUACCACCAAACUGGUUCCUUCAGGCUCAGAGUUAACGUUUGACUAUCAGUUUCAGAGAUAUGGAAAAGAAGCCCAGAAAUGUUUCUGCGGAUCAGCCAAUUGCCGGGGUUACCUGGGAGGAGAAAACAGAGUCAGCAUCAGAGCAGCAGGAGGGAAAAUGAAGAAGGAACGAUCUCGUAAGAAGGAUUCAGUGGAUGGAGAGCUAGAAGCUCUGAUGGAAAAUGGUGAGGGUCUUUCUGAUAAAAACCAGGUGCUCAGCUUAUCCCGGCUAAUGGUUAGAAUUGAAACUUUGGAGCAGAAACUUACCUGUCUGGAACUCAUACAGAACACACACUCACAAUCCUGCCUGAAGUCAUUUCUGGAACGUCAUGGGCUGUCUUUGUUGUGGAUCUGGAUGGCAGAGCUAGGUGACGGCCGGGAAAGUAACCAGAAGCUUCAGGAAGAGAUUAUAAAGACUUUGGAACACUUGCCCAUUCCUACUAAAAAUAUGUUGGAGGAAAGCAAAGUACUUCCAAUUAUUCAACGCUGGUCUCAGACUAAGACUGCUGUCCCUCCGUUGAGUGAAGGAGAUGGGUAUUCUAGUGAGAAUACAUCGCGUGCUCACACACCACUCAACACACCUGAUCCUUUCACCAAGCUGAGCACAGAGGCUGACACAGACACUCCCAAGAAACUAAUGUUUCGCAGACUGAAAAUUAUAAGUGAAAAUAGCAUGGACAGUGCAAUCUCUGAUGCAACCAGUGAGCUAGAAGGCAAGGAUGGCAAAGAGGAUCUUGAUCAAUUAGAAAAUGUCCCUGUAGAGGAAGAGGAAGAAUUGCAGUCACAACAGCUACUCCCACAACAGCUGCCUGAAUGCAAAGUUGAUAGUGAAACCAACGUAGAAGCUAGUAAGCUACCUACAUCUGAACCGGAAGCUGACGCUGAAAUAGAGCCCAAAGAGAGCAAUGGCACAAAACUAGAAGAACCUAUUAAUGAAGAAACACCAUCCCAAGAUGAAGAGGAGGGUGUGUCUGAUGUGGAGAGUGAAAGGAGCCAAGAACAGCCAGAUAAAACAGUGGAUAUAAGUGAUUUGGCCACCAAACUCCUGGACAGUUGGAAAGACCUAAAGCUUCUCAGGGCAGCAAGGAGCUUGUUAACAUCACCAGCUGACCAUGUGUCUCCUUUUCUCAACUCCAUUUCCAACUUCGUGCUGAAGAAAAACGAGAACCUAGCGUGCAUUCUGUGAAGAAACAGGAAGAUGGUUGGGAAGUUGGAUGAUGCAUGAAAAAUAUAAUAGGAGGUAUAUCGAAUUCCAAAGAAAAGUCAAACCGAAAAGGAGAACACAACAACUGAACGAGGAAGGGAUGCUGUUGGCUUCAGAGAUCAAACACCUGCCCCGAAGACUCCUAAUAGGUCAAGAGAGAGAGACCCAGACAAGCAAACUCAAAAUAAAGAGAAAAGGAAACGAAGAAGCUCCCUCUCACCACCCUCUUCUGCCUAUGAGCGGGGAACAAAAAGGCCAGAUGACAGAUAUGAUACACCAACUUCUAAAAAGAAAGUACGAAUUAAAGACCGCAAUAAACUUUCUACAGAGGAACGCCGGAAGUUGUUUGAGCAAGAGGUGGCUCAACGGGAGGCUCAGAAACAACAGCAACAGAUGCAGAACCUGGGAAUGACAUCACCACUGCCCUAUGACUCUCUUGGUUAUAAUGCCCCGCAUCAUCCCUUUGCUGGUUACCCACCAGGUUAUCCCAUGCAGGCCUAUGUGGAUCCCAGCAACCCUAAUGCUGGAAAGGUGCUCCUGCCCACACCCAGCAUGGACCCAGUGUGUUCUCCUGCUCCUUAUGAUCAUGCUCAGCCCUUGGUGGGACAUUCUACAGAACCCCUUUCUGCCCCUCCACCAGUACCAGUGGUGCCACAUGUGGCAGCUCCUGUGGAAGUUUCCAGUUCCCAGUAUGUGGCCCAGAGUGAUGGUGUAGUACACCAAGACUCCAGCGUUGCUGUCUUGCCAGUGCCAGCCCCUGGUCCAGUUCAGGGACAGAAUUAUAGUGUUUGGGAUUCAAACCAACAGUCUGUCAGUGUACAGCAGCAGUACUCUCCUGCACAGUCUCAAGCAACCAUAUAUUAUCAAGGACAGACAUGUCCAACAGUCUAUGGUGUGACAUCACCUUAUUCACAGACAACUCCACCAAUUGUACAGAGUUAUGCCCAGCCAAGUCUUCAGUAUAUCCAGGGGCAACAGAUUUUCACAGCUCAUCCACAAGGAGUGGUGGUACAGCCAGCCGCAGCAGUGACUACAAUAGUUGCACCAGGGCAGCCUCAGCCCUUGCAGCCUUCUGAAAUGGUUGUGACAAAUAAUCUCUUAGAUCUGCCGCCCCCAUCUCCUCCCAAACCAAAAACCAUUGUCUUACCUCCCAACUGGAAGACAGCCCGAGAUCCAGAAGGGAAGAUUUAUUAUUACCAUGUGAUCACAAGGCAGACUCAGUGGGAUCCUCCUACUUGGGAAAGCCCAGGAGAUGAUGCCAGCCUUGAGCAUGAAGCUGAGAUGGACCUGGGAACUCCAACAUAUGAUGAAAACCCCAUGAAGGCCUCAAAAAAGCCCAAGACAGCAGAAGCAGACACCUCCAGUGAACUAGCAAAGAAAAGCAAAGAAGUAUUCAGAAAAGAGAUGUCCCAGUUCAUCGUCCAGUGCCUGAACCCUUACCGGAAACCUGACUGCAAAGUGGGAAGAAUUACCACAACUGAAGACUUUAAACAUCUGGCUCGCAAGCUGACUCACGGUGUUAUGAAUAAGGAGCUGAAGUACUGUAAGAAUCCUGAGGACCUGGAGUGCAAUGAGAAUGUGAAACACAAAACCAAGGAGUACAUUAAGAAGUACAUGCAGAAGUUUGGGGCUGUUUACAAACCCAAAGAGGACACUGAAUUAGAGUGACUGUUGGGCCAGGGUGGGAGGAUGGGUGGUCAGGUAAGACAGACUCUAGGGAGAGGAAAUCCUGUGGGCCUUUCUGUCCCAUCCCUGUCAGCACUGUGCUACUGAUGACACAUCACCCUGGGGAAUUCAACCCUGCAGAUGUCAACCGAAGGCCACAAAAAUGAACUCCAUCUACAAGUGAUUACCUAGUUGUGAGCUGUUGGCAUGCGGUUAGAAGCCAUCAGAGGUGCAAGGGCUUAGAAAAGACCCUGGCCAGACCUGACUCCACUCUUAAACCUGGGUCUCCUCCUUGGCGGUGCUGUCAGCGCACAGACCCAUGCGCAUCCCCACCCACAACCCUUUACCCUGAUGAUCUGUAUUAUAUUUUAAUGUAUAUGUGAAUAUAUUGAAAAUAAUUUUUUUCCUGGUUUUUGUUUGGUUUUCGUUUUGCUUUUAGCCUCUACAUGCUAGGAUCACAGGAAGACUUUGUAAGGACAGUUUAAGUUCUCCUGCAAGGUUUAAUUUGUUAUCAUGUAAAUAUUCCAAAGCAGGCUGCCUUGUGGUUUUGGCCAGCCUUGUGCUAUGUUGAUAAGAUUGAUUUACUGCUUAAAAUCACUUUACUUUAUCCAAUUUUUACUGAACUUUUUAUGUAAAAAAAUAAAAUCAAUUAAAGAACUUGG